CGACGAGGGGAUUGGCCGCAACAGGUUUGGCGCGCCAGGUAGGGGGCGGGAUCACGACCUCCACAGAGCUUGAAAAAAUUCUUUCGAAAUGACAAGAACCAGGGCUCAGCGAUCGAGGGCCACCGGAUCGGUGAGGCACUCUUUCCGUCGGGAAAAUGCCUCUCCUCCACCCUCCAUGGCGGAACCCAGCUCUCCGCAUCCUGUGGUGACCACGGAGGCGCAAAUCGCGGCGAUUGUACGGCAGAUGACUGUGCUGACGGGUGCAGUCAAGAGCCUUCAACAACAACCAACCCGGUUGCUGCACCUGCGGCGGGGCAACCGGCGGCACACCCGAUGUCCUCUAGGAGCAGCCGCCAGCGUCGGUCUCCGUCUCCUCCUCAGGAGCAGCCGUCACAGCACUCCCACCGAGA
Molecule: long non-coding RNA, 410 nt
Filed under: Elaeis guineensis (African oil palm)
Lineage: Eukaryota; Viridiplantae; Streptophyta; Magnoliopsida; Arecales; Arecaceae
Description: long non-coding RNA (EGUI_LNC077707)
Source: RNAcentral